This 577-nucleotide ribosomal RNA is filed under the name Streptomyces sp. HRRP148. RNAcentral's name for it is "bacterial SSU rRNA". It matches the Rfam family "Bacterial small subunit ribosomal RNA", at positions 102 to 694 of the family's 1533-position model. Lineage: Bacteria; Bacillati; Actinomycetota; Actinomycetes; Kitasatosporales; Streptomycetaceae. The record is from RNAcentral.
ACGGGUGAGUAACACGUGGGCAAUCUGCCCUUCACUCUGGGACAAGCCCUGGAAACGGGGUCUAAUACCGGAUAUCACUCCUGCAGGCAUCUGUGGGGGUUGAAAGCUCCGGCGGUGAAGGAUGAGCCCGCGGCCUAUCAGCUUGUUGGUGAGGUAAUGGCUCACCAAGGCGACGACGGGUAGCCGGCCUGAGAGGGCGACCGGCCACACUGGGACUGAGACACGGCCCAGACUCCUACGGGAGGCAGCAGUGGGGAAUAUUGCACAAUGGGCGAAAGCCUGAUGCAGCGACGCCGCGUGAGGGAUGACGGCCUUCGGGUUGUAAACCUCUUUCAGCAGGGAAGAAGCGAAAGUGACGGUACCUGCAGAAGAAGCGCCGGCUAACUACGUGCCAGCAGCCGCGGUAAUACGUAGGGCGCAAGCGUUGUCCGGAAUUAUUGGGCGUAAAGAGCUCGUAGGCGGUCUGUCGCGUCGGAUGUGAAGCCCGGGGCUUAACCCCGGGUCUGCAUUCGAUACGGGCAGACUAGAGUGUGGUAGGGGAGAUCGGAAUUCCUGGUGUAGCGGUGAAAUGCGCAGA